ACAGUUCUGGAGGCUGGAAGUCCAAGAUCAAGGUGCUAUCAGGGUUGGUUUCGGCUGUGGCCUCUCUUCCUGGCUUGUAGACAGCUAUCUUCUCGCAGUGUCCUCACGUGGCCUCUUUGUGUGAAGGUACGAUGGAAGCUGCUAAAGAAUGUGCUUGACUAAAACAAGGCAAUAAGCAAAAGGAAGUCAUAGCAUCCAGAAAAUGGGAUCCAUCAUGCGCACAAAGAAAAGGUGAAGAAAAUUUCCAGGAUGUUCAGAACCCACCAAAAACGAAAGAUUCUGGUCCAGAUCAGAAGAGAGGGAAACACUCUGAAAAAGUCCCUCAAAUACAAAAUUAAACAGAGUUUAAAUGAUGUGCUUGACCACAAUAAAAGGCUUCUUGCUCUGUAAGAUUUCUGGAAUUAAUUAGUGAUAAGCAAAGAUAAAUAUAAGCAAAUCAUCACAACAGAGUGAACACAUUCCAGUAGACCACAUGGAUGAGCUUUGGAAAAUACAGAUAUACGCAUAAUGUAAUCCCUUAAUUUCUGGGAGGCUGGAGGGAGGGAAAGUUUGAGAAGGUAAAAUGUGUGUGUUAAGAGUGGGAGUGGGUAAUAUGGUUAGGCUUUGUGUUCCCACACAAAUCUCAUCUGGAAUUGUAAUCCCCAUAAUCCCCACUUAUCAAGGGAGAAACCAGGUGGAGAUAACUGAAUCAUUGGAGGCAGUUUCCCCCAUGCUAUUCCUCUGAUAGUGAAUUCUCAUGAGAUCCAAUGAUUUUAUAACGGACUCUUCCCCCUUCACUCAGC
Molecule: long non-coding RNA, 782 nt
Filed under: Homo sapiens (human)
Lineage: Eukaryota; Metazoa; Chordata; Mammalia; Primates; Hominidae
Description: HSALNT0093297
Source: RNAcentral